CCUACGGGAGGCUGCAGUCGAGAAUCAUUCACAAUGGGGGAAACCCUGAUGGUGCGACGCCGCGUGGGGGAAUGAAGGUCUUCGGAUUGUAAACCCCUGUCAUGUGGGAGCAAAUUAAAAAGAUAGUACCACAAGAGGAAGAGACGGCUAACUCUGUGCCAGCAGCCGCGGUAAUACAGAGGUCUUAAGCGUUGUUCGGAAUCACUGGGCGUAAAGCGUGCGUAGGCUGUUUCGUAAGUCGUGUGUGAAAGGUGCGGGCUCAACCCGCGGACGGCACAUGAUACUGCGAGACUAGAGUAAUGGAGGGGGAACCGGAAGUCUCGGUGUAGCAGUGAAAUGCGUAGAUAUCGAGAGGAACACUCGUGGCGAAGGCGGGUUCCUGGACAUUAACUGACGCUGAGGCACGAAGGCCAGGGGAGCGAAAGGGAUUAGAUACCCGAGUAGUC
Molecule: ribosomal RNA, 446 nt
Filed under: uncultured bacterium
Lineage: Bacteria
Description: partial 16S ribosomal RNA
Rfam family: Bacterial small subunit ribosomal RNA
Source: RNAcentral